GGCCUGUUGAUUAUAAUUUUAGGUCAGACCUGCCCGAUGAGUAUUUUAAAUGGCUGCGGUAUACUGACCGUGCAAAGGUAGCAUAAUCACUAGUUUUUUAAUUGAAAGCUUGUAUGAAAGGUUUGAUGAGAGGAUUUCUGUCUCUGUAAAAAUUUAUUAGAAUUUUAUUUUUAAGUUAAAAAGCUUAAAUGUUUAUAGAAGACGAGAAGACCCUAUAGAGUUUUAUAUUUUAUAAAAGGGAUUAAUUUUUUGGUUAAAAUUUAUUGGUUUUUUUUGUCAAGUAUUUUGUUGGGGCGAUGGGAAAAUUUACAAAACUUUUCUUUUAAUUUUACACUUAUUUGUGGUUUGUAUGAGCCUAGAUUUUAGAUUGCAAGAUAAAAUUACCUUAGGGAUAACAGCGUAAUUUUUUCUAGAGUUCUUAUCGAAGAAAGAGUUUGCGACCUCGAUGUUGGAUUAAAAUUAAUUUUUGGCGUAGGAGCUGAUUUAUUAGGUCUGUUCGACCUUUAAAAUUUUACAUGAUCUGAGUUUAAACCGGCGUGAG
RNAcentral lists this ribosomal RNA (541 nucleotides) under Trigonopterus edaphus. Its description in RNAcentral is "partial large subunit ribosomal RNA". It matches the Rfam family "Bacterial large subunit ribosomal RNA", at positions 1816 to 2625 of the family's 2925-position model. The record is from RNAcentral. Lineage: Eukaryota; Metazoa; Arthropoda; Insecta; Coleoptera; Curculionidae.